CCGGAGUAAAGGUUGGUCACCUUAAAAUUGCUCCGGGCAAACGAUUAGUGCGAAUAUGUGGUUGCCGUCGCCACCUAUAUGUGCGGUUCCAAGAGUCGGUGCGUUUUGUCGAAGAUUAUAAACGAGAGGGACACCGUCUGGCAACACGGAAAGGGUGCUAAAUUGAGAACUAACGUGAGCGAUAGCAGCUUGCCGAUGUCUGAAUCUUGACGGCAGGAAUAUGUGCUUGAGCAUGCACGAGCAUACGUGGCGAAAAAUGUAAUUUUUCUUUGAUUAUACCCCAGAUCGGGUGAGACUACCCGCUGAAUUUAAGCAUA
RNAcentral lists this ribosomal RNA (317 nucleotides) under Corynosoma validum. Its description in RNAcentral is "5.8S ribosomal RNA". Lineage: Eukaryota; Metazoa; Acanthocephala; Palaeacanthocephala; Polymorphida; Polymorphidae. The record is from RNAcentral.